RNAcentral lists this ribosomal RNA (246 nucleotides) under uncultured bacterium. RNAcentral's name for it is "partial 16S ribosomal RNA". It matches the Rfam family "Bacterial small subunit ribosomal RNA", at positions 15 to 244 of the family's 1533-position model. The record is from RNAcentral.
GAUCAUGGCUCAGGAUGAACGCUGGCGGCGUGCCUAACACAUGCAAGUCGAGCGGGAAAUCCGUAACGGAUCCUUCGGGUGACGGAUCGGAUGGAGAGCGGCGGACGGGUGAGUAACGCGUAGGUAACCUGCCCUGUACAGAGGGAUAGCCACUGGAAACGGUGAUUAAUACCUCAUAAUGCCGGAUCUGCACACGCAGGACCGGUCAAAGUUUUUUCGGUACAGGAUGGACCUGCGUCUGAUUAG